RNAcentral lists this long non-coding RNA (1482 nucleotides) under Castor canadensis (American beaver). RNAcentral describes it as "lncRNA (ENSCCNG00000004228.1)". The record is from RNAcentral. Lineage: Eukaryota; Metazoa; Chordata; Mammalia; Rodentia; Castoridae.
GGAGGAGGAGAAGGGGGAGGGGAGGAAAGGAACAGGGAGACGGAUUUGGGGAUCCUGGCUGGAAGCGAUCUCUAAACCAGCUGGAGGAUUCGCUUCUCCUGCUGGUCGGACUGGGUGACUUGGAAGCUCUGGGUAGAGGUGGUGGAUCUCGGCCUAGUUUGUUUGCUCAAAUAGAACUCUACUAGAGGAAAUCAAUCAAUCUGCAGAAAAAAAAACAAAAAAAAUGGAAGUAGGAGUUUGGGGAGAGUUGUCACUUCCCCAACGGGAGAGUCGCUGGCUUGGGGCGGAGACUUGGGACCAAAGAGAGGCCCUUCUCAACCAUCUCAGCUCCUUUCACAGGACUUCCAGAAGGAAGAUUGCACCUUCUCCCGGCUUCUUCCCCUACUCCCAUCUUGCUCGCCUGCCAGACUGUACCUCCUUACCCUAGGAGCCAGAGAAGCCAGGUUCCCGAGCCCAAGAAGUCUGCUCCCACGCCCCUCCCGCUCCCACGCCUCCCCCACCCCCCUCCAGCUAUCGCCACUGCCACCACCUCGGUUCCACUCAAUCGAUUUUUGCUGCAUGUCAACACUUAUUACCGGGCUAAGAGAAUUUCAGACUCGUCUCUCCUGACCAGAGUGUGUAUCUUCACCCUGUGACUCUGAUGGAUCUUUCUUUCUUUCUAUUCUUCUGAUGAAAAUGUUUAAGGUAUUGUCCUCCUGUCCUCUCCUUUACUUUCUCUCCCUUCUAUUUUCUAUGUGCACAGUUUUGCCUUGUUUUGUUUAGGUUGUUUUAUUUUUACCCAUGUUAUAGCAAGUUAAAAAAUGGCCGGUGAUGCUGGGACCUGAUGUAUCAAGAUUAAGAAAGCCCUGGAGUGUUUUUGUUAGAGUCCAGUGACUUGCUCUACCCAGCUGUCUCCUCCACAAGUAGCAAAGCCUCUUUGCCUUGCCAGUAGUUUGCUGCAGUGGAACCCCUCGCAUGCAGCCCUGGGCUGGAACCUCUAUCCUCUGUCAUUCAGGGAAGAUGUGACCUAGAACCGACUCUGCUCUCCUAGAGAAAGCUGUGUGGCACCAUAUAGAAUAUGACUUGGAGCUCAGAAUAGUAAUAGCACAGCUCUUGGGAGCAGUUCACCAGCUCUGCCUGUGUCCCCCCCUUCCAACUCUGCUUCUCUGGGUAGGUAUCACGGUGAGGUGAGGUGGCUGCACCCAAUCAAAACGCGAUGGCAUGUUCCUCUGUCCUUUCAGAUGAACUGGCAGGGCCUUCUCGGGUAUCACUUCACGCGAUGACUGCGUUCAGUUGAGCGCCAGUCUCCCUGACAGCUUCGCCCAGCUAGGCUACGUGCUGUCGCGGGGUCUGGGAGAGGGAAGUGGAAGGAGAGACUGGGGACAGAGGUGGAGACCCUGCCUGCCAUCCCGGCACUAAGGACCGGGCUUUGCCUGUCAGAGCCCAAAGCUACAGACUUUGUUUGAAAAUAAAAUAAUGGCAAACAAAAGAAAGUGAACUAAA